GUCGGUUAUCACAGCACAUAUCCUUCACUUCACUAUCCUCUGCUGCUCCUCUCUCAUGGCUUCAUUUCUCUACAUUUCACUUCCCCUGUUCUUCCUUUUCUUCUUUUCUUUCCUUUCUAAUUUCCACCUUCUAGCACUUUCCUCCGAUCAGACGCUCAAAACCUUCAUCUUCCGCGUCGACUCUGAAUCCAAGCCCUCUAUUUUCGCCACACACUACCACUGGUAUACUUCCGAGUUUGCUGAUCCUCUCCAAAUCCUGCAUGUAUACGACACCGU
Molecule: unclassified non-coding RNA, 276 nt
Filed under: Hevea brasiliensis (rubber tree)
Lineage: Eukaryota; Viridiplantae; Streptophyta; Magnoliopsida; Malpighiales; Euphorbiaceae
Source: RNAcentral